ACUGAACGCUGGCGGCAGGCUUAACACAUGCAAGUCGAGCGGGGUGAUGGUGCUUGCACUAUCACUUAGCGGCGGACGGGUGAGUAAUGCUUAGGAAUCUGCCUAUUAGUGGGGGACAACAUCUCGAAAGGGAUGCUAAUGCCGCAUACGUCCUACGGGAGAAAGCAGGGGAUCACUUGUGACCUUGCGCUAAUAGAUGAGCCUAAGUCGGAUUAGCUAGUUGGUGGGGUAAAGGCCUACCAAGGCGACGAUCUGUAGCGGGUCUGAGAGGAUGAUCCGCCACACUGGGACUGAGACACGGCCCAGACUCCUACGGGAGGCAGCAGUGGGGAAUAUUGGACAAUGGGGGGAACCCUGAUCUAGCCAUGCCGCGUGUGUGAAGAAGGCCUUAUGGUUGUAAAGCACUUUAAGCGAGGAGGAGGCUCUUUUGGUUAAUACCCAAGAUGAGUGGACGUUACUCGCAGAAUAAGCACCGGCUAACUCUGUGCCAGCAGCCGCCGUAA
Molecule: ribosomal RNA, 503 nt
Filed under: uncultured bacterium
Lineage: Bacteria
Description: partial 16S ribosomal RNA
Rfam family: Bacterial small subunit ribosomal RNA
Source: RNAcentral